This is an RNA transcript of Morus notabilis, 1636 nucleotides long. It is a transcript of the gene named protein WHAT'S THIS FACTOR 1 homolog, with no coding region annotated. Lineage: Eukaryota; Viridiplantae; Streptophyta; Magnoliopsida; Rosales; Moraceae. The transcript has 2 exons. The record is from RefSeq and is a predicted model, not a curated record.
GCAUUUUGGCGCCGAAAUCUUCCACAGCUCCGCCAAUUGUCUAAACCCGAAACCCCCAAAUUCAAUGGCUCUCUGCUUCUUCCUCUCCAGAAUCACCCGUCCCAGAACCUCCCGAACCCUAACCAUUCCCAUCUUCUCACACUCGUCCCCUUUCCAAAACCCUAAUCCCAAUCCCAAUCCCAAUUCCACCCCCCACCUGGCUUCCCGAUACUCCACCUCGUUCCUCAUCACCAAAACCCCGAAGAAAUUCAAGAAGAAGCGCAAGAAGAAGGAGAGCCCCAGAACCAAGCUCGUUCAAUCCGAGCCUAACCGAAUCCCCUCCCUCGAACGCAUCCUCGACCGUGACGCCUUCUUCCGCUUCCUCCUCCGCUCCAAGCAGUUCCUCUCCAAGCAGCCCGAGCGCGUUCUCCGCCUCGACGACGCCGGAAAGCUCCACCGCGAGCUCGGCUUCCCCCGCGGCCGAAAAGUCGCCCGCUUUAUUCAGCGCCACCCUCUCAUCAUCUUCGAGCCCUCCCGCCACUGCGACGGGAAAAUGUGGCUCGGGUUCACCGAUUUCAUGGACGAGCUUCUCGAAGAGGAGCGGGCGAUUAUGAACGAAAUGGAGGCGGAUCGGGUUACCAAAGUGAGGAAAUUGCUUAUGAUGUCCGCGGGGAAAAGGAUUCCUUUGAGUAAGAUUCAUCAUUGUCGGUCGUUGUUUGGAAUUCCGGAUGAUUUCAGGGACCGGAUUGCGAAAUUCCCGGAUUAUUUUAAGGUUGUGGUUGAGGGUGAUGGGAGGAGGGUUCUUGAAUUGGUGAAUUGGGAUCAGAAUUUGGCGGUGAGUGCGCUCGAGAGGGAGUUUAUGGUCGAUGAGGAGAAGGCCAAAAGGGCUUUCAAGUUCGCGGUGAAGCACGGGAAGGAUUUGGAUCUGGACGAGGACGAUACGCGGAAAUUGAACUUGCUGAACACCCUUCCGCUGGUGUCUCCGUACUCGGACGGUUCGAGAUUGGAUCUUUGGAGUUUGGAGGCGGAGAAGUAUAGGGUUGGUGUUUUGCAUGAGUUCCUGAGCUUGACGUUAGAGAAGAGGGCUUCUAUACACCACAUUGUGGAGUUUAAGGAGGAGUUUAGCUUGACUAAGCAUACUUACCAGGUGCUUUUGAAGCAGCCGAGGACGUUUUAUCUGGCCGGGACGGAGAUGAACUGGGCUGUUUUCUUGAAAGAUGCGUAUGAUGAAAAUGGGGAUUUGAUUAAGAAAGACUCCCAGGUGGUUUUUACUGAGAAGCUGUUCAAGUAUGCCCAGAUGCAGGAAAAUGAACUCGGUUCAGUAUUUGAUGGAAAAUGAUUACUGCAUAAACUGGUUGUCUUUUGUAACGUGAGUGGAUAGAUGAUGGAAAACUUGUGAAAUCUUCAUUGAUGUUGGAUCAGGACUUUUUGAGCUGCUAGGAAAACCGGGUGGCCGGAGAAAAAUAUGCAAAUGAAUUUAAGUAGAGAUUUGUUCCAAUUGUGGGAAAACUGCUGGCAUUUGAUGUUGGCAGUCUUUUUCUUGCUUGGAGCUGAUCUUACUAUGGUUGGAGAAGCUGCACAAUCUGUAGUACGUUGAUGCUGUUGAGUACGAAGAUCACUCCAUCUGAAGCAUUUAUUGAAGUUAUAACUUAUGAAU